Molecule: ribosomal RNA, 253 nt
Filed under: uncultured bacterium
Lineage: Bacteria
Description: partial 16S ribosomal RNA
Rfam family: Bacterial small subunit ribosomal RNA
Source: RNAcentral
UACGAAGGGGGCUAGCGUUGCUCGGAAUCACUGGGCGUAAAGCGCACGUAGGCGGAUUGCUGAGUCAGGGGUGAAAUCCUGGAGCUCAACUCCAGAACUGCCUUUGAUACUGGCGACCUUGAGUCCGGGAGAGGUGAGUGGAACUGCGAGUGUAGAGGUGAAAUUCGUAGAUAUUCGCAAGAACACCAGUGGCGAAGGCGGCUCACUGGCCCGGUACUGACGCUGAGGUGCGAAAGCUAGGGGAGCAAACGGG